RNAcentral lists this ribosomal RNA (253 nucleotides) under uncultured bacterium. RNAcentral's name for it is "partial 16S ribosomal RNA". It matches the Rfam family "Bacterial small subunit ribosomal RNA", at positions 524 to 776 of the family's 1533-position model. The record is from RNAcentral.
GACAGAGGGUGCAAACGUUGUUCGGAAUUACUGGGCGUAAAGCGCGUGUAGGCGGCUUUGCAAGUCGGGUGUGAAAUCCCCAGGCUUAACCUGGGAACUGCAUUCGAGACUGCAUUGCUAGAGUAUGGGAGAGGGAAGUGGAAUUUCCGGUGUAGCGGUGAAAUGCGUAGAUAUCGGAAGGAACAUCAGUGGCGAAAGCGACUUCCUGGACCAAUACUGACGCUCAUGUGCGAAAGCGUGGGGAGCAAACAGG